GCUUAUUCAGCAAACAGCUUAAUCAGUAAUGCUUCCUGAUUACACAAAGGCAGCCAUACAGCCAACCAACAACAAUAUGUUUCACAAGCCUGAAAAUGAGUCUUUUAGUUCUUGCACAGAUUUCCACGCAUCUCAAAGUGAAAGCUUCACAGGCCUGAACCAUCAAUUCAAUGACUUAAUUCGUUUAGCUGUACCACACAUUCCUCCUGCUGCUAAAACCAUCUGGAAAACAUACAACUUCAAACAAACUUUGCUAUGAUGAAAACUGACUUCACAGCCAAAUUCUGCUGUAGUUCCAUUCAUCUUUUUACUUCAGUGAUGUUCUUUAUAUCUCCAUCACUCACUGCUGCAGGUAACCAGGCCAAACUGUUUCUCAAAGUUUUCUGUUUGUGAUUUUGUGUUUUAGAUCGUCACAUGGAGUUUUGGCAUGAGCCAUCAAUAUGGAGCUUCCCUAUCUUUCCCAGCCUUAUAGAUACAUCCAAGGAAAGAGGAAAUGAGGGGUGCAUGUCCUUCGUGCACUGAUGGAGAUGUUAACGAGGCUAAGGAGAAACCUGAACACUUUACCCAGAUGUUCAGGACAUGAAGAAAGGGUGGCUGCUGCACAGAACCAGGAUCGGGCAAUCCACGCUUGUUUUCUAAAGAGGAUUUCUACCCAAAGUUGGGCAGAUUUUCCCAAAGAAAAUACUCCUGUGUCUCUACCAAUGGAUAAAAAUGUUGUAUUUUAAGUCUGUAAAAUAUUCUGUUUACUAUUAUAAUGAUGUGUAUGCGUAGUUUUAAAUCUUCUUUGAUAAUAGGCUUUUUAACAAAACUGGCUGAUUUUAAUGCUGUUAACUGUGCAGUUAAGUGAUCAUGCUCAUUUAAUCAAAUUAAAACCUACUGAUGUUCUGACCUUCAUAGUCAAUCUAGUAUCUAGCUGUAGUAGUAUGUUACAAGCAAAAUGUAUUUUAAGUAUCACAAUUACUCUUAUAAUCUCAUACAAUGUUGUGAAUCAAUGUUUGUUUCAUUUGUACAGUCAUUAGCAGCAGUCUUUAAGCAAUUAGUUAGCAACUUGCAGUUAUCUAUAGAAAGAGAUAUUAUGUAAAAAUGCAAAAAAAAUCUGAGCUAAUAGACUCAACAUUUAAUAUAGCGUCAUGCACGCACCCAUACAUUACUUUUAUUUCUGUAGAAAUCUGUAUUAGGACCUGUGUUUAACUGUAUUUUAAAUAAAUUAACCUUAAAAAA
Astatotilapia calliptera (eastern happy) is the source of this 1221-nucleotide long non-coding RNA. The record is from Ensembl. NCBI's taxonomy places the organism in Eukaryota, Metazoa, Chordata, Actinopteri, Cichliformes, Cichlidae.